GUAUCAAUUAAUCAUCAAUAAGAGCAGGACUCAUAGAAUUUCGAAUAAUACUAAUUUUAGAAAAGCACUAUAAGAUACAAAAGUAUAUGUUUAAACAAAAUCAUGUAUGUUUAAAUAAAUGCAUGAAAUUAAAUAGCCCAAAGUUUAAUUAUUAGAUACUAUUUGCAAACCAUCAAUGUCUCUAUCAAUCUCAAAGUGAUCAAUUGUUUUGCAAAACACACUUUCAAGCAUUUCAGGAGUGAUUUUCUUUGAACUGCUUCUAUAAGCAGUUCAGAACAAAUUGCUUGCAAAUGCAUUGGUUAUGAGUAUCAGAUUUCUAAUUUUUCUGCAAUAUAUCUUAGAUUUAAUAAAAUCCCAAGCAAAAAAUCUAAGAUAAAUCAAGCAAUUUAAAUGAAUUGAAAUGUGCAUUUUGUUUUAGUAUGCAAAUGCUUUUUUCUUAAUGUUUUUUUUUUUUAAAGGCCUAUUAUUUCUCAAAAUAGAUGGCGGUUUUUGGGACAUCCUAUAUAAUGCCAAUAUUAUACAUUGAGACUGAUAUUAUUAGAUAUUUAUUUGUAGCGCUAACAAGGGAACAUCACACCCGAUGUGUCUGGGAUUUUGCCGAUGUUUUGUCAUCUGAAAAAUCACCCCUAUAUGGGGGCCAAUGCUCUAGCGUUUUCGAGAAAAUUGCUUUUGAAGUUUCGAGAAUUUUUUGUUUUAAAUAGUGAACGCUUGGACAUUCGACUACAGGUUGUUGUGGC
RNAcentral lists this long non-coding RNA (737 nucleotides) under Androctonus crassicauda. The record is from RNAcentral. Lineage: Eukaryota; Metazoa; Arthropoda; Arachnida; Scorpiones; Buthidae.